Molecule: unclassified non-coding RNA, 367 nt
Filed under: uncultured fungus
Lineage: Eukaryota; Fungi
Description: partial contains 5.8S ribosomal RNA and internal transcribed spacer 2
Rfam family: 5.8S ribosomal RNA (bases 1-133)
Source: RNAcentral
UGGCUCUCGCAUCGAUGAAGAACGCAGCGAAAUGCGAUAAGUAAUGUGAAUUGCAGAAUUCAGUGAAUCAUCGAAUCUUUGAACGCAGCUUGCGCCCUUUGGUAUUCCGAAGGGCAUGCCUGUUUGAGUGUCAUUAAAUUAUCAAACCUGAAGUUUUCUUUCUUCAGCGCUUUGGACUUUGGAGGUAUGCGGGCUCGCCCGCUCCUCUUGAAACGCAUUAGCGGUCCUCUGUCGAGUCCCUCGCCCCGGCGUGAUAAUUAUCUACGUCGUCGGCUCUCUCGAAUCUCUGAGCCGCUCAUAGCCGUCUCCUCUCCGAGACAGACUCUUUUGACGAUUUGACCUCAAAUCAGGUAGGAUUACCCGCUGA